Molecule: ribosomal RNA, 253 nt
Filed under: uncultured bacterium
Lineage: Bacteria
Description: partial 16S ribosomal RNA
Rfam family: Bacterial small subunit ribosomal RNA
Source: RNAcentral
UACAGAGGCCUCGAGCGUUGUUCGGAAUUACUGGGCGUAAAGGGAAUGUAGGUGGUGACGUAAGUCAGAUGUGAAAGCCCUGGGCUUAACCCGGGAAGUGCAUUUGAUACUGCGUUGCUGGAGUACGAGAGAGGAAAGCGGAAUUCCCAGUGUAGGAGUGAAAUCCGUAGAUAUUGGGAGGAAUACCGAUGGCGAAGGCAGCUUUCUGGCUCGUAACUGACACUGAGAUUCGAAAGCGUGGGUAGCAAACAGG